GGAGCGGCGGCUGCCACUGCAGCCAGGGCGGGGCGGUGGAUGGCAGCUGCAGCGGCCCGACGAGCACGGCAGAGGCCGCCAGAAGCGGCGGUUGCCACUGCAGCUAGGGCGGGGCGGUGGAUGGCAGCUGCAGCGGCUCGACGAGUGCGGCGGCUGCCACGGCGGCGCAGCCUGGUGCGGCCCGUAGGACCCGGCCAAGAACAGGCGGAUCUCCUGGACCGCCUGGUUUAGGUCCCGCGGCGCCCCGGACACUUCCUCCGAGGUGAGGACGGCGGGGGCAGGCGCGACGGAGGAUCCCGGCGCGGGCAGGAGCGGGGCGACGGUCGUGGUGGUCGGCGACGAGGUGACCGGCAGCGGGAGAGACGGGUUAGGCGGCGGUGAAGACAUGAUCGAACCGAAGUUAGCUGGUACCAAAUUUCUAUAAGGUUUUUGUAAUUAUGUUUAUGUUAGAAGGUUUAGAUGCCAUACUCUGCAUGGACUGUUACUAAAAGAAAUUUCCGUUGUUCUUAGGUACUAAUCAGGUUAAUGACGCCGCCGAAUAGCUGUCGUUGGCUAUAAUGUGAUUAGGCGCCAAGCCCUCCGAUGCCCAGCCGUGCGCUGUUGUCUCUGCCUGAAGAAGGAUUAUGGUCCUCCACCUCUCUGCUACUCGUAUUAAAAUUCCGGUGUGUUCUUUCUUUCUUUAUUUUCUGUCAACAAAAAGGUGAACCUGUUCUUAAUUUCCCAUAAUGAUUUCAAUGGAAAUUUGUGAGUGUAUUUCUAGCUGGAAUUGCAUGUAUAUCUUACAAAUUUACAUAGCAACAAAUUAAUAAGGAGAAUAGAAGCAUUUGCGUCCAUCUAACAUAUUUGUAUGGUAUUUUAAAAAAAGCUCAAGGUUAGAGAUAUGGCGCUGUAUGAGGCUAUCAUUAGGAUGGAAAAUAAAUUAAUGUUAAAAUAUUGCUUGAGUUUCCUUCAUUCUGUAAACCGCAAUACAAGCUAUGUUUGCGCAAUGAUUCUAUUCCAAUUUUUUUUAACAACUGGCAAUUAACAACACAUCAAAUGUUCUGUAUUGAAAUGGAUCAUUUUGUCAGGUUGGGUUUAGUAGGUCAUAAUGGUUUUAUUCCACGACAGGGUUAAUUUUGUUUAUAUUGUAACCAGUUCAGGUAAUACAGGGGAAAACAACAUUUUUUUGGUUCGUUUGGUAAGAAUAGUCGGGUAAUGAUCUUAAUGAAACACUGCAUUUGUUUGAUACAAGUCGCUGGUACAAUUUGCACCUGGCAAUAAAAUUGUAACACUAUCUAUUUUAUCAGGUAAAAACACCAGCAUGUUGUUUGAGGUGCAUGCAUCGGUUGUAGCGAAGAUGUGCAUAUGACAAUACAUUGCUAACCAUGGAGCACCGCAAGGAUUUAGAAUAUGUACCGCAACUUAGAGACUUGACACAUUGCCACUUGCUCCUACCACCAUGCAAGUGGGCGAUGCUUUAGUGUUGAACUAUUGAUUAAUCCCUCUUUUUUCUUUAAUCUAUGUGAUGGUGCCCCUUAUCAUAAAUAAUUGUUAUGUGGAUUCAAUAUAAAGGAUGUUUUAAACAUGUUUGAUAGUUAUAAAAACAAAUGUCAUUGACGAUACAUAUUGCUAUUAUGGAGAC
Molecule: ribosomal RNA, 1621 nt
Filed under: Triticum aestivum (bread wheat)
Lineage: Eukaryota; Viridiplantae; Streptophyta; Magnoliopsida; Poales; Poaceae
Description: partial small subunit ribosomal RNA
Source: RNAcentral